GGACUACCCGGGUUUCUAAUCCCGUUUGCUCCCCUAGCUUUCGCGCCUCAGCGUCAGAAGAGGUCCAGCACGUCGCUUUCGCCACCGGCGUUCCUUCCGAUAUCUACGCAUUUCACCGCUCCACCGGAAGUUCCACAUGCCCCUACCUCACUCAAGAUGGUCAGUAUCAGAGGCACUUUUCCAGUUGAGCUGAAAGAUUUCACCCCUGACUUGACCGCCCGCCUACGCGCCCUUUAAGCCCAGUGAAUCCGAACAACGUUCGCACGGUUCGUCUUACCGCGGCUGCUGGCAC
This 292-nucleotide ribosomal RNA is filed under the name uncultured Planctomycetota bacterium. Its description in RNAcentral is "uncultured planctomycete partial 16S ribosomal RNA". Lineage: Bacteria; Pseudomonadati; Planctomycetota. The record is from RNAcentral.